Molecule: ribosomal RNA, 453 nt
Filed under: uncultured bacterium
Lineage: Bacteria
Description: bacterial SSU rRNA
Rfam family: Bacterial small subunit ribosomal RNA
Source: RNAcentral
ACUCCUACGGGAGGCAGCAGUGGGGAAUAUUGCACAAUGGGCGCAAGCCUGAUGCAGCCAUGCCGCGUGUGUGAAGAAGGCCUUCGGGUUGUAAAGCACUUUCAGUCGUGAGGAAGGUAGUGUAGUUAAUAGCUGCAUUAUUUGUACGUUAGCGACAGAAGAAGCACCGGCUAACUCCGUGCCAGCAGCCGCGGUAAGUACGGAGGGUGUGAGCGUUAAUCGGAAUUACUGGGCGUAAAGCGCAUGCAGGUGGUUGUUAAGUCAGAUGUGAAAGCCCGGGGCUCAACCUCGGAAUUGCAUUUGAAACUGGCAGACUAGAGUACUGUAGAGGGGGUAGAAUUUCAGGUGUAGCGGUGAAAUGCGUAGAGAUCUGAAGGAAUACCGGUGGCGAAGCGGCCCCUGGACAGAUACUGACACUCAGAUGCGAAAGCGUGGGAGCAAACAGGAUUAGAU